Long non-coding RNA from Lampris incognitus (smalleye Pacific opah), 392 nucleotides. RefSeq lists it as uncharacterized. The record is from RefSeq and is a predicted model, not a curated record. The transcript is spliced from 3 exons. NCBI's taxonomy places the organism in Eukaryota, Metazoa, Chordata, Actinopteri, Lampriformes, Lampridae.
GGAGACAGUCACUGAAGGUGUGGAGAAGUCAUGUGCGGGCUAGCCACUGAGAUGCAUGUUCUAUGAGGGGCUUCGGGGAGGGGCUUUCCCCGAAUAGUGAAUUUGGGUGGCAGCCCGAGAACUGCUGCAACCAGGACGCGAACCCGGAUCUCCUGCACCACGGGUGACAAUGUUAACCAGUCAACUAAAGGGUCGACACUCACGCCAACAACGCAAACAGAAGAAAAGCGUCGAGGAGUCAAGACCACUUUUCUAAGAGAACACAAUUUCCACUGCUGCGCUACAGACUGACAAACUCUGUGUGCUGAGUGAGAUUACACGUCAGCAUCAUGCCAUCAUCAUUGCCAUUAGGCCUAAUUCAGUGGUUGCCUUGUACAGUUAAAAAUAGCACC